AAAGGAGGGGCAAUACCGAAUAUUGUCCGGAACCGUGAAGGGUUUCGGGGAAAGGGAGGCCUCUGACACAAGCUUUCGCCUUAAGAUGAGCCCAUGGCCCAUCAGCUAGUUGGUAGGGUAAAGGCCUACCAAGGCUACGACGGGUCGCUGGUCUGAGAGGACGACCAGCCACACUGGCACUGAGAUACGGGCCAGACUCCUACGGGAGGCAGCAGUGAGGAAUAUUGCGCAAUGGGGGAAACCCUGACGCAGCAACGCCGCGUGUGGGAAGAAGGCCUUCGGGUCGUAAACCACUUUUACUCGGGACGAAAAAGGGAUAUCAAACAAAUAUCCCCGAUGACGGUACCGUGAGAAUAAGCCACGGCUAACUCUGUGCCAGCAGCCGCGGUAAGACAGAGGUGGCAAGCGUUGUUCGGAAUUACUGGGCGUAAAGAGUCUGUAGGUGGUUUGUCAAGUCUUUGGUGAAAGGCCGUAGCUUAACUAUGGGAAUGCCAAAGAGACUGGCAGGCUGGAGGCUGGGAGAGGGAAGCGGAAUUUCUGGUGUAGCGGUGAAAUGCGUAGAUAUCAGAAGGAAGGCCGGUGGCGAAGGCGGCUUCCUGGAACAGUCCUGACACUGAGAGACGAAAGCGUGGGGAGCAACAGGAUUAGAUACCCUGGUAGUCCACGCCCUAAACGAUGGGUACUAAGUGUGGAGGGGUUAAACCCUCCGUGCCGCAGCAACGCAGUAAGUACCCCGCCUGGGGAGUACGGCCGCAAGGUUGAAACUCAAAGGAAUUGACGG
Molecule: ribosomal RNA, 781 nt
Filed under: uncultured bacterium
Lineage: Bacteria
Description: bacterial SSU rRNA
Rfam family: Bacterial small subunit ribosomal RNA
Source: RNAcentral